Long non-coding RNA from Zophobas morio, 1498 nucleotides. RefSeq lists it as uncharacterized. The transcript has 5 exons. Lineage: Eukaryota; Metazoa; Arthropoda; Insecta; Coleoptera; Tenebrionidae. The record is from RefSeq and is a predicted model, not a curated record.
AUUAUGAUAAGUAUUAAGUGUAAACUUAAUAAAUAUAAAGAUAUGGUUCUAUCUUUGUAUAACAUUAAAGUCUGCUUUUAUUGUGAGAAGAUCGAGAAGACUAGGCAGUUCAUCAACUUCACUUUGAGCGAAUUAAGCGGACUUAAUAAAUGUUCAUAUGUAUGGCAUUUUCUCAUGAUCAUUACCGUGCUAUUGUCCAGUGUAUGUCUCGUAUUAGAAUCUUCCUGGAACUUAAUCAAAUGGAGUUUAAGAAAUAACAAUUUUUUUUUAAAAGCCGAGAUUUUUUUUUUCUCCAUAUUUGUUGUGGAUUAUUUCGGUCGUUUUAUGACCUCAAGUCAACCAUUAAUUUUUUUUUUCGAUCUAUAUAAUUUAUCUGAUUUCCUCUCGUUCGUACCUUUUAUUAUUUCCUUCAAAUAUAAGAGAGCUGGGGAGCUCGGUCCUAAAGGUAAACAAAGCUUUUAUUUUAAUUAAAAAGGGCUUGCUUCCCUGUGAAGAUCUACUUUAAUAUAUUAUUUACUACUGCUAUAUUAGAACUGAGAUAUGUAAACUUAUUACGACUUUUGCGGCUUUUUGACCUCUUUAAAUAUGCAAAGCAUUCCAACAUACUUCGGAUUCUUUUAAAGUCCCUAAAAAUUGCUUUAAAAGGUAUAUCUAUCACUUAUCUUUUUAGUGCGAUCCCUGAUCCUAUACUCACCCAAGAUCCCCUCAUUAACAUAACGUAGGUGUUUUGUUUUUACUGAUAUUUAUAGCAAUAUACACGGUGUUUUUCUCUACACUUAUUUAUUAUGCUGAGACGGUCUCCUGCACUAGAGGUUUUCAAAUGCUAAUAAAUAUUAAGUGAUCGUGAGUUACGCGAAUACAGACCCUAUUACUGGCCUUUACAUCCACUCUGAAGGGAAGCUAAAAGGUCAACCUACCGACUUUCAAGAUAUUCCAGCUUCGCUUUGGUGGUGCAUCGUUACGCUUACAACGGUAGGAUACGGGGAUCUCACGCCUAGAACGACUCUAGGAAAGAUAAUAGCUUCCAUCACCAUGGUCACAGCGUUGGUAGCCGUUGCCCUACCCGUGACCAUCCUUUCUGCAGUCUUUUCGCAGGAGUCUGAAGAAUAUUUGGAGGUACGCACUCGAAAGUUACUUUCAGAGGCGUCUGGAGAUCUACUGUUCUCAAACGUUUGUCUGAGCCCUCAGUUAAAAAGGGCAAAAGUUAUGUUCAAUAGAAAAGCAGAAAAAACUAGUGAGGGCGGCUUAAGUUGUAUACUGUCGCCAGAAAGCUCCUUGAAUAUAAGAGAAGAGUUCUUUUCUUGCUACACCAAGGCCAAUAGAGAGUAGAAUAUACAAUUUUUAGAUUGAACUCGAAGAUUAAUGCCUUAGAGAGGGAAUUAGAAUUUUUAAGAAAGCUCAAGUUCGUAUUGGAAACUGAAGUCUUAUGAAUCUUAUAAAUAAAAAAAGGGAGUUUCACCGUACUUCAAAGCUGUUUUAUGUUAUAAAAUAGCGCUUA